This 758-nucleotide ribosomal RNA is filed under the name uncultured bacterium. Its description in RNAcentral is "bacterial SSU rRNA". It matches the Rfam family "Bacterial small subunit ribosomal RNA", at positions 75 to 848 of the family's 1533-position model. The record is from RNAcentral.
GGAGCUUGCUUUAUAUAACUUAGCAGCGAACGGGUGAGUAACACGUAGAUAAUCUAUCCUAUACUGGGGGAUAGCCCGAUGAAAGUUGGAUUAAUACCGCAUAUAGCUAUAUAGUUGCAUGAUUGUGUAGUGAAAGAUUUAUUGGUAUAGGAGGAGUCUGCGGCACAUUAGCUAGUAGGUGAGGUAAGGGCUUACCUAGGCGACGAUGUGUAGCCGGUCUGAGAGGAUGAACGGCCACAAUGGAACUGAGACACGGUCCAUACUCCUACGGGAGGCAGCAGUGGGGAAUAUUGCACAAUGGGGGAAACCCUGAUGCAGCAACGCCGCGUGAGUGAAGAAGGUUUUCGGAUUGUAAAGCUCUGUUAGCAGGGAAGAGGAAGGACGGUACCUGCAGAGGAAGCCACGGCUAACUACGUGCCAGCAGCCGCGGUAAUACGUAGGUGGCAAGCGUUGUUCGGAAUAACUGGGCGUAAAGGGUGCGUAGGCGGUUAAACAAGUUAUAUGUUAAAUAUAUAGGCUUAACCUGUAGAAAGCAUAUAAAACUGUUUAACUAGAGUGCAGGAGAGGUAAGUGGAAUUCCUAGUGUAGCGGUGAAAUGCGUAGAGAUUAGGAAGAACACCAGUGGCGAAGGCGACUUACUGGACUGUAACUGACGCUGAGGCAUGAGAGCAUGGGGAGCAAACAGGAUUAGAUACCCUGGUAGUCCAUGCUGUAAACGAUGGGUACUAGGUGUGGGUUGUGAAUAACAAUUCGUGCCG